Molecule: ribosomal RNA, 273 nt
Filed under: uncultured bacterium
Lineage: Bacteria
Description: partial 16S ribosomal RNA
Rfam family: Bacterial small subunit ribosomal RNA
Source: RNAcentral
UACAGAGGGUGCGAGCGUUAAUCGGAUUUACUGGGCGUAAAGCGCGCGUAGGUGGCUAAUUAAGUCAAAUGUGAAAUCCCCGAGCUUAACUUGGGAAUUGCAUUCGAUACUGGUUAGCUAGAGUAUGGGAGAGGAUGGUAGAAUUCCAGGUGUAGCGGUGAAAUGCGUAGAGAUCUGGAGGAAUACCGAUGGCGAAGGCAGCCAUCUGGCCUAAUACUGACACUGAGGUGCGAAAGCAUGGGGAGCAAACAGGAUUAGAUACCCGGGUAGUCC